AGUUCGGAUUGGAGUCUGCAACUCGACUCCAUGAAGUUGGAUUCGCUAGUAAUCGCGCAUCAGCCAUGGCGCGGUGAAUACGUUCCCGGGCCUUGUACACACCGCCCGUCAAGCCAUGGAAGCUGGGGGUGCCUGAAGUUCGUAACCGUAAGGAGCGGCCUAGGGCAAAACCGGUGACUGGGGCUAAGUCGUAACAAGGUAGCCGUACCGGAAGGUGUGGCUGGAACACCUCCUUU
RNAcentral lists this ribosomal RNA (236 nucleotides) under Prevotellaceae bacterium. RNAcentral describes it as "partial 16S ribosomal RNA". It matches the Rfam family "Bacterial small subunit ribosomal RNA", at positions 1290 to 1533 of the family's 1533-position model. The record is from RNAcentral. Lineage: Bacteria; Pseudomonadati; Bacteroidota; Bacteroidia; Bacteroidales; Prevotellaceae.